AGCCCCCACAGGUCCAAUGAGGGUGCAGAGGGGGGAAAAAUCAGCCCUGAAAAUAAGAAGCACCAUUGGGACCAUGUCUUGGAGGACUUUAUUUGGCAAAGUGGGAAGGGACAAGAUAAGGGACCAGGUACAGCACCCCAUGCCAUCAGGGAACGCCACGCCCUCGAGAGUGGCCGGCAGUGGAGCACGGGGCAGAGACUAGGACCUGAGACUGUCAGAUAAAGCAACAUCCUCCAGUCCCUCACCUGACACUGACUUAGAUGGAGCCACAUGCAAUAACUACGCUGUCGCCUUGCCAUGCCUCCUCCAUAAAAGCUGGGGAUUAUGGUCUGCGUAGGGGCAGAGAAUAGGGCCAUCUGCGUGCGCCCAGGAUGGCCAUCGCAUCCACCCAUCCGAUACAUCUUGUCAGUAAGUCACCCUGAAUAAAACUGAGUAAAUGGUA
This is a long non-coding RNA of Suricata suricatta (meerkat), 442 nucleotides long. RefSeq lists it as uncharacterized. Lineage: Eukaryota; Metazoa; Chordata; Mammalia; Carnivora; Herpestidae. The record is from RefSeq and is a predicted model, not a curated record. The transcript has 2 exons.